Molecule: ribosomal RNA, 253 nt
Filed under: uncultured bacterium
Lineage: Bacteria
Description: partial 16S ribosomal RNA
Rfam family: Bacterial small subunit ribosomal RNA
Source: RNAcentral
UACGUAGGGGGCAAGCGUUGUCCGGAAUCAUUGGGCGUAAAGAGCGUGUAGGCGGUUCAGUAAGUCUGCUGUGAAAGUCCAGGGCUCAACCCUGGGAUGCCGGUGGAUACUGCUGGGCUAGAGUACGGAAGAGGCGAGUGGAAUUCCUGGUGUAGCGGUGAAAUGCGCAGAUAUCAGGAGGAACACCAAUGGCGAAGGCAGCUCGCUGGGACGGUACUGACGCUGAGGCGCGAAAGCGUGGGGAGCGAACAGG